AUCACUAAAACUCUUCUGAAAU
Molecule: small nuclear RNA, 22 nt
Filed under: Arabidopsis thaliana (thale cress)
Lineage: Eukaryota; Viridiplantae; Streptophyta; Magnoliopsida; Brassicales; Brassicaceae
Description: snRNA_14722
Source: RNAcentral